RNAcentral lists this unclassified non-coding RNA (200 nucleotides) under soil metagenome. RNAcentral's name for it is "partial contains internal transcribed spacer 2 and large subunit ribosomal RNA". The record is from RNAcentral.
GUGGACUUGGACGUUGCCGUGUCAUUACGGCUCGUCUCAAAUGCUUGAGUGUAUCCUGCUUUGCAGUGUAUUCGGUGUGAUAACAUCUUCACCGUUCAGUCGAAAGACAUACUUGCUUGUGGGCUCUAUGCUUCCAACCGUCUUUGGACAAUCUCUGACAAUUUGACCUCAAAUCGGGUGGGACUACCCGCUGAACUUAA